Molecule: long non-coding RNA, 782 nt
Organism: Oreochromis niloticus (Nile tilapia)
Lineage: Eukaryota; Metazoa; Chordata; Actinopteri; Cichliformes; Cichlidae
Exons: 3
Source: RefSeq, a predicted model, not a curated record
AGACUUUCUGACAAGAUCAUUUUUGUGUUUAUGAACUUUUUUCUACUCUCUAUUUAUCAUUUAGAAUAAAACUAAAUAAGAAAUUCUUCAUAUAAAGAAUGAGGAGAAACCAGUAACAGUGGCAAACUGAUCUAAACAGUCCUGUCCCAGGUUUACGAUGCUGACUUUGGAAGAGUGCGGCUUUAAAGUGUUUUUUCAUUUUCUGAACAAGUAGGAUCGUGGGCUGUCUGCUCACAAGCAGGUAGGAACCAGGCGGGUGGCUAUGGCUGAACUACUUCAGUCUGCGUGCUCAGGCAUUGUUGGGAAUAGCUCGUUCGAGGUGAGAAGAGGUCAAAGGUCAAGAUGGAAUACAAGAUCAUUGUAAUAGAACCACAGCAGACCCGACGACAUGGACCUGCUUUUCAGCUUACUUUAUUCAACACUUUCAUUAACGGUUGUUCUACACACACAGUCGGCUGCAGCUCACAGCCCGACACAUACCAACAACAACCACCAUUUGACAGCUGGCUUACCUUUUAAGCCAGCAAGGCGUGAUUGCAGAUCCCGCCCAUUUGCGUCCACCUCUCCUGCAGCAGCACCGUAGACCACGCCCCGCCACAAUGAUUUUGACAGCUUUAAUCAUUCACUCGAUCUUUAUUGUUUCUCACGUCAAUGUUUGAAUUUCAGCAACAUUUUUUUUAAUUAUUUUUUUUUCUCUCAUCUUGACAAUAAAGUAGCUGAGCAUCCCUCAGGUGUGCUCCAGCACAUGAAAUCCCUUAAUACCUCUCUCCAUUACAAAGGCA